GCGUUCGCUUCUGCAGCACACAUACUCAAAUUGGAACGAUACGGAGAUUAGUAUGGCCCCUGUGAAAGGAUAACAUGCAAAUUCGUGGUGUUCCUUUUUUUUUU
Molecule: small nuclear RNA, 104 nt
Organism: Equus asinus (donkey)
Lineage: Eukaryota; Metazoa; Chordata; Mammalia; Perissodactyla; Equidae
Source: Ensembl